UACAUGGGGUGCAAACGUUGCUCGGAAUUAUUGGGCGUAAAGCGCACGUAGGCGGUUUGUUAAGUCGGAUGUGAAAUCCCUCGGCUCAACUGAGGAAGUGCAUCCGAAACUGGCAGGCUUGAGUACUAAAGAGGGUCGCGGAAUUCCCGGUGUAGAGGUGAAAUUCGUAGAUAUCAGGAGGAACACCGGUGGCGAAGGCGGGUCUCUGGGCCGAUACUGACGCUGAGGAGCGAAAGCGUGGGGAGCGAACAGG
This 253-nucleotide ribosomal RNA is filed under the name uncultured bacterium. RNAcentral's name for it is "partial 16S ribosomal RNA". It matches the Rfam family "Bacterial small subunit ribosomal RNA", at positions 524 to 776 of the family's 1533-position model. The record is from RNAcentral.